GCCAAUUUGAAAAGAAAAUUUUUUUAUGCAUAAACCUUAGUUAAAAUUUACUCAAUCAUUUUUGUUUGCAAGUAUUAGUUAUUAUGUAGCUUUCAGAUAAUUAUAAAGGAAUAUUACUAGGACAUUAAAGAAGAAAAUGUUCACAUUAGCAAAACUAGUCUUAAAACUGAAGAGUAAAAGGUAACUCAGAACCCAAAAGACACUAAAAUAUUCUGAUUAGACCUAUUACUGCAAUGAAUGGCAAGCUGGUACAGUUAAGAAGAGAAAAUCCAUUCAGGUAACCAAAAAAAAAAAAAGACACCAGCUGUAAACCCCCAGCUGCAGAUGGAAGAAAGAAACAUUACAGAAAAAGAAUCUUAAACUUCUCCGUACUGUAGUUUUUGUGAAUGACCAUUGUAAUGUCUCUGGUAUGGGAGCACAUUAAGAAGAAAAGGCAAGAUCAACACCGUGACCACACCACAAGCCUCAGGAAAGGCAUUGUCAGUUUAUUGUUGAAGGCACAUUGUUUAACAUUUCACUGAGAAAAAUAUCCCUUGGUAUUUCAGGGGCAAAGUUGCAUCUCCAAAGCUUCCUCUGUUUACAGUUGUCUUCUCAUAAAUUUCAUGGUGAACAACCUACUCUCUAUAAGGAAGGCAAAACCAAACAAGCAAAUAGACAAAAAACUAGCAAAGAAAACUCACUAUUUCUAGCAAAGAAGUACAUUUUGAUGGUAAUUAAGGAUUGUAGAUGAUACUUUCUGUUAUCUAAACAGAGUAAGCCUGUCUUGGGUUACAUUUAAUCCCCUAAUAUUUGAUAUUAAAAACUGAUCCUAAAAAUAUUUGAAUAGCAUUAAUUAAUAUAUUUGUGUGAUAUAUUAUAAACCCAAGAACAAUAUUUAAAUGGUAUACAAUAGACAUUAUAUAAUAAACAGUAAACUUCAU
This 920-nucleotide long non-coding RNA is filed under the name Callithrix jacchus (white-tufted-ear marmoset). Its description in RNAcentral is "lncRNA (ENSCJAG00000086610.1)". The record is from RNAcentral. Lineage: Eukaryota; Metazoa; Chordata; Mammalia; Primates; Cebidae.